Cinara cedri is the source of this 304-nucleotide non-coding RNA. NCBI's taxonomy places the organism in Eukaryota, Metazoa, Arthropoda, Insecta, Hemiptera, Aphididae. The record is from the annotation of a GenBank genome assembly.
UUAUUAUUAUUAUUUUUUUUUUUUUUUUUUUUUAUAUAUAACAUUGUAUACCUAAUCACAAUAAUUAUUUUAUAUCGAUUGUAAAUAAUCUAUAAGCGUGUUCCUAUUUAAUAAGAGAUCACGGCCUCUAGUUGUCUCCGCGAAGAAAAUAGCUGCUGCCGCUCGAUGUAUUAUAUAAUAUUAUGUAGUAUAAUAUAUUAUUAUUAUUAUUAUUAUUAUAAUAAACUUUUAACGUAAUAUUAUUAAUUUUAUUAUUUCGAUAAUUUCCCCUGUAAAUAAUCAAUAUCACACACACACACACACA